CCCGAGUCUGAUACCGGUACCCAUUGAUUGCUUCCUGGUGAUUGGGUCCUGGUUAAGAAAUUUGUGAGAAAACACCCUCUUGAUCCAAGAUAUAAUGGUCCCUACCAAGUCCUCCUAGUUACAGCCACUUCUGUUAAAUUGGCAGGGAAAAGCACCUGGAUACAUGCUUCCCAUUGCAAGAAGGUUCCGGCUCCAGAGGAGGUGGACUGUCCUAAG
Non-coding RNA from Pelobates cultripes (western spadefoot toad), 216 nucleotides. The record is from the annotation of a GenBank genome assembly. NCBI's taxonomy places the organism in Eukaryota, Metazoa, Chordata, Amphibia, Anura, Pelobatidae.